RNAcentral lists this transfer RNA (86 nucleotides) under Chloroflexota bacterium. Its description in RNAcentral is "Chloroflexi bacterium (hydrothermal vent metagenome) tRNA-Leu". It matches the Rfam family "tRNA". From Rfam's summary of the family: Transfer RNA (tRNA) molecules are approximately 80 nucleotides in length. The record is from RNAcentral. Lineage: Bacteria; Bacillati; Chloroflexota.
GCCGAAGUGGCGGAAUUGGCAGACGCGGGGGACUCAAAAUCCCCUGGGGUUCACCCCCCGUGUGGGUUCGACUCCCACCUUCGGCA